This 424-nucleotide ribosomal RNA is filed under the name uncultured Parasutterella sp. RNAcentral describes it as "bacterial SSU rRNA". It matches the Rfam family "Bacterial small subunit ribosomal RNA", at positions 338 to 779 of the family's 1533-position model. Lineage: Bacteria; Pseudomonadati; Pseudomonadota; Betaproteobacteria; Burkholderiales; Sutterellaceae. The record is from RNAcentral.
CCUACGGGAGGCAGCAGUGGGGAAUAUUGCACAAUGGGGGAAACCCUGAUGCAGCGACGCCGCGUGGAGGAAGAAGGCCUUCGGGUUGUAAACUCCUGUCGUAAGGGACGAUAGUGACGGUACCUUACAAGAAAGCCACGGCUAACUACGUGCCAGCAGCCGCGGUAAAACGUAGGUGGCAAGCGUUGUCCGGAAUUACUGGGUGUAAAGGGAGCGCAGGCGGGUCUGCAAGUUGGAAGUGAAACCCAUGGGCUCAACCCAUGAACUGCUUUCAAAACUGUGGAUCUUGAGUGGUGUAGAGGUAGGCGGAAUUCCCGGUGUAGCGGUGGAAUGCGUAGAUAUCGGGAGGAACACCAGUGGCGAAGGCGGCCUACUGGGCACUAACUGACGCUGAGGCUCGAAAGCAUGGGUAGCAAACAGGAUU